Molecule: long non-coding RNA, 986 nt
Organism: Triticum aestivum (bread wheat)
Lineage: Eukaryota; Viridiplantae; Streptophyta; Magnoliopsida; Poales; Poaceae
Exons: 3
Source: RefSeq, a predicted model, not a curated record
UGAUAGGGCACUGGUUGCUUAUUGACGUAGCAAGAUAUGAUGUCAUUCCAAACUUUAGCAUCAGUGAGACCCCUACGCGAAGGGAGCUUGGUCGAUUGUUCAACAGGCGGAACAGUCACUUCAAGUCCAUAGCGUCAUUGAACAUCCAGUAUGACAAACUCUCUGGCCAAAACGAUGAGAUCCCAGUGACUCCAGUGUACCCUCUUGAUGAAGAGUUUCACACGUUUCACACUGUUACCAUCCGGGGCAGAGGUGUGACACUUGUGGUUCUAGUACGGGAUUCAGAUAACUACGUCCUUGCAGUCAAAGUGUAUUUAACUGAAGAAGAGUCCCGUGUUGCUCCUUGGUUUCUCUUUAAAGGUGUGAAACUUCCAAGCAGGUUCAAGAAUGUUGUGCCAACACACUAUAGUUUUGGUCAUGACUACAAGGGUGAGAUUAAAUUUGGUAAAAAUGUCUUACCUAAACUGAUGGAUUUUAUGGUCCAGCUCCGACUUGAUCCAGGACAGACAGCCACUGACAAAAACAGUCUCUUGCUGGGCGCUUUGUUCGUGUUGCUAGGUGAAGCUCAGCGGUUCAGGCGGGUUAGGAAUUGGACCAUGCGGACCCUGAGAUGCAUUGAACCUAAACCCGUUCCAAAGUGCCUUAGUUUGUUAUUCCAAUCUUGGUCGGAUAUAUCAAAAACCAUUUUUCACUUUGUGUUGGGAUUGGAAAGCAUGCGUCUGAUUGCACCACAGAUGAAAUCCUUGGAUCUAGAAGAGAACUACUUCAUGAUGAAAGCUCUAGAAGAAUGGGAAAACAGCAGAAGAGUACACAAUGAUAUGAAACAGUGUGGAUUAAAGUACAGAAACAGUGAAGGAGAGAUCUCGCUUGGUUGUCUCCUUGGUGGUGAAUUGCUGUUAUUGCGGCAUGAUCCGGUAUUGUGCACCAAAAUUUUGAUGAGAAGACAAGACUUUGCGGGCGAUGUUAAUCUCCGUAAGAUUGUUGUU